AGUGAACGCUGGCGGUAGGCCUAACACAUGCAAGUCGAACGGCAGCACAGUAAGAGCUUGCUCUUACGGGUGGCGGGUGGCGGACGGGUGAGGAAUACAUCGGAAUCUACUUUUUCGUGGGGGAUAACGUAGGGAAACUUACGCUAAUACCGCAUACGACCUACGGGUGAAAGCAGGGGAUCUUCGGACCUUGCGCGAUUGAAUGAGCCGAUGUCGGAUUAGCUAGUUGGCGGGGUAAAGGCCCACCAAGGCGACGAUCCGUAGCUGGUCUGAGAGGAUGAUCAGCCACACUGGAACUGAGACACGGUCCAGACUCCUACGGGAGGCAGCAGUGGGGAAUAUUGGACAAUGGGCGCAGGCCUGAUCCAGCCAUACCGCGUGGGUGAAGAAGGCCUUCGGGUUGUAAAGCCCUUUUGUUGGGAAAGAAAAGCAGCAGGUUAAUACCCCGCUGUUCUGACGGUACCCAAAGAAUAAGCACCGGCUAACUUCGUG
This 492-nucleotide ribosomal RNA is filed under the name uncultured bacterium. RNAcentral's name for it is "partial 16S ribosomal RNA". It matches the Rfam family "Bacterial small subunit ribosomal RNA", at positions 29 to 507 of the family's 1533-position model. The record is from RNAcentral.